Molecule: non-coding RNA, 76 nt
Organism: Ameiurus melas (black bullhead)
Lineage: Eukaryota; Metazoa; Chordata; Actinopteri; Siluriformes; Ictaluridae
Source: the annotation of a GenBank genome assembly
CGCACGGUGGUUUAGUGGUUAGCACGUUCGCCUCACACCUUGAAUGGGGUUCCGGGUUCGAUUCCCGCCGGGGCCA